RNAcentral lists this small RNA (27 nucleotides) under Bombyx mori (domestic silkworm). Its description in RNAcentral is "ovarian small RNA-36502". The record is from RNAcentral. Lineage: Eukaryota; Metazoa; Arthropoda; Insecta; Lepidoptera; Bombycidae.
UUACGAAGGAGCCGUACGUAUAGUUUG